RNAcentral lists this transfer RNA (65 nucleotides) under Camelus ferus (Wild Bactrian camel). It matches the Rfam family "tRNA". From Rfam's summary of the family: Transfer RNA (tRNA) molecules are approximately 80 nucleotides in length. Their secondary structure includes four short double-helical elements and three loops (D, anti-codon, and T loops). Further hydrogen bonds mediate the characteristic L-shaped molecular structure. tRNAs have two regions of fundamental functional importance: the anti-codon, which is responsible for specific mRNA codon recognition, and the 3' end, to which the tRNAs corresponding amino acid is attached (by aminoacyl-tRNA synthetases). tRNAs cope with the degeneracy of the genetic code in two manners: having more than one tRNA (with a specific anti-codon) for a particular amino acid; and 'wobble' base-pairing, i.e. permitting non-standard base-pairing at the 3rd anti-codon position. The record is from Rfam by way of RNAcentral. Lineage: Eukaryota; Metazoa; Chordata; Mammalia; Artiodactyla; Camelidae.
AGGAGGCUCAGUGGUAAAGCACAUGCUUAGCACGCAUGAGGUCUGGGUUCAACCCCCAGUACCUG